This 640-nucleotide ribosomal RNA is filed under the name Planomicrobium sp. PE-R2A-14. Its description in RNAcentral is "bacterial SSU rRNA". It matches the Rfam family "Bacterial small subunit ribosomal RNA", at positions 94 to 720 of the family's 1533-position model. Lineage: Bacteria; Bacillati; Bacillota; Bacilli; Caryophanales; Caryophanaceae. The record is from RNAcentral.
AGCGGCGGACGGGUGAGUAACACGUGGGCAACCUGCCCUGCAGAUCGGGAUAACUCCGGGAAACCGGUGCUAAUACCGAAUAGUUUGUUGUGCCUCCUGGCACGGCACGGAAAGGCGGCUUUUACCUGCCACUGCAGGAUGGGCCCGCGGCGCAUUACCUAGUUGGGGGGGUAACGGCCCACCAAGGCCACAAUGCGUACCCAACCUGAAAGGGUGAUCGGCCACCCUGGAACUGAAACACGGCCCAAACUCCUACGGGAGGCAGCAGUAGGGAAUCUUCCGCAAUGGACGCAAGUCUGACGAACCAAUGCCGCGGGAGUGACAAAGGUUUUCGGAUCGUAAAACUCUGUUGUAAGGAAAAAACAAGCCCCAUUUAACUGAUGGGGCCCUGACGGUACCUUACCAAAAAGCCACGGCUAACUACGUGCCACCAGCCGCGGUAAUACGUAGGUGGCAAGCGUUGUCCGGAAUUAUUGGGCGUAAAGCGCGCGCAGGCGGUCCCUUAAGUCUGAUGUGAAAGCCCACGGCUCAACCGUGAAGGGUCAUUGAAAACUGGGGAACUUGAGUGCAAAAAAGGAAAGUGAAAUUCCAUGUGUAGCGUUGAAAUGCGUAAAGAUGUGAAGGAACACCAGUGGCGAAG